GUAGGUGGCAAGCGUUGUCCGGAAUUAUUGGGCGUAAAGCGCGCGCAGGCGGUCCUUUAAGUCUGAUGUGAAAGCCCACGGCUCAACCGUGGAGGGUCAUUGGAAACUGGGGGACUUGAGUACAGAAGAGGAAAGCGGAAUUCCAAGUGUAGCGGUGAGAUGCGUAGAGAUUUGGAGGAACACCAGUGGCGAAGGCGGCUUUCUGGUCUGUAACUGACGCUGAGGCGCGAAAGCGUGGGGAGCAAACAGGGAUUAGAUACCCUGGUAGUCCACGCCGUAAACGAUGAGUGCUAAGUGUUAGGGGGUUUCCGCCCCCUUAGUGCUGCAGCUAACGCAUUAAGCACUCCGCCUGGGGAGUACGGCCGCAAGGCUG
RNAcentral lists this ribosomal RNA (373 nucleotides) under uncultured organism. RNAcentral describes it as "partial 16S ribosomal RNA". It matches the Rfam family "Bacterial small subunit ribosomal RNA", at positions 527 to 896 of the family's 1533-position model. The record is from RNAcentral.